GUGAGGAAUAUUGGUCAAUGGACGAGAGUCUGAACCAGCCAAGUCGCGUGAAGGAAGACGGUUCUAUGAAUUGUAAACUUCUUUUGUGCAGGAAUAAAGUGGGUUACGUGUAACCUUUUGUAUGUACUGUACGAAUAAGGAUCGGCUAACUCCGUGCCAGCAGCCGCGGUAAUACGGAGGAUCCGAGCGUUAUCCGGAUUUAUUGGGUUUAAAGGGUGCGUAGGUGGAUUGAUAAGUCAGCGGUGAAAGUUUGCAGCUUAACUGUAAAAUUGCCGUUGAAACUGUCGGUCUUGAGUGCAAAUGAGGUAGGCGGAAUGUGUUGUGUAGCGGUGAAUGCUUAGAUAUAACACAGAACUCCGAUUGCGAAGGCAGCUUACUGGGAUGCAACUGACACUGAUGCACGAAAGCGUGGGUAUCAAACAGGAUUAGAUACCCCAGUAGUCC
This 444-nucleotide ribosomal RNA is filed under the name uncultured bacterium. RNAcentral's name for it is "partial 16S ribosomal RNA". It matches the Rfam family "Bacterial small subunit ribosomal RNA", at positions 354 to 796 of the family's 1533-position model. The record is from RNAcentral.